RNAcentral lists this ribosomal RNA (253 nucleotides) under uncultured bacterium. RNAcentral's name for it is "partial 16S ribosomal RNA". It matches the Rfam family "Bacterial small subunit ribosomal RNA", at positions 524 to 776 of the family's 1533-position model. The record is from RNAcentral.
UACGAAAGGGGCUAGCGUUGUUCGGAAUUACUGGGCGUAAAGCGCACGUAGGCGGCAAUGUAAGUUGGGGGUGAAAUCCCGGGGCUCAACCCCGGAACUGCCUCCAAAACUACAUAGCUCGAGGAUGUGAGAGGUUGGCGGAAUUCAGAGUGUAGAGGUGAAAUUAGUAGAUAUUCGGAAGAACACCAGUGGCGAAGGCGGCCAACUGGCACAUUUCUGACGCUGAGGUGCGAAAGCGUGGGGAGCAAACAGG